CAUCUCAGUUCUCACAGAGCCGUCUCCUUCCUUCCUACUUCCAACAGAAAAUUCCCAAUCUUCAAUCUUCCUUUACCAUAAGCCUUCUUCAUUUAAGAAGCAACGACAACAAGAAACCGUCUCCAUCUUCAUCUUUCCCAUAAACCAUCUCCAUCUUUCAGGCGUCUUCAUUUUAGCAACCACAACAAGGCCCCACACCUUCACCACCUCCCAUUAGUAAAACUGCAGGCAAAUCAGGGUCCAGUUCAAGCUCUUCUCUUAACUCAUCCUACAUAACAAGAAACAAAAGAAGCAGUCAGUUGAGCAAAUCAUCGUAGUAGAGCAUGUGUGAUGCAAAUGUGCGAUCACAAUUGUGCACCUUCAAAAGAACUGCAAAAGCAAAAGACGGUCAGAUGGGCAAGCCAAAAACACGGAUUUGAGAAUCUUCCAACCCAUUUAGUGCAACCCUCUUAGCUACCUCCUUUGAUGGGCAGUAGCAUCUAUUCCAAAAAAACCGGUUCAAACCGAACUAGAAAAAACAAAAAAAAACCCUAUAUAUUAAGGGAUUAGGUUUCCCGGUUUUUUCCAAAAAAACUGGAUUUAACCGAACCGGACCGGUUCGGUUUGAACCGGUUUCCGGUCCAGUUCGGUUGAUAUUCACCAAAAAUACUAAAAUUCGGUUCGGUUGGUUUUUUGAGUCUAAACCGAACCGAACCGAACCGUGAACACCCCUAAUGCCAACACAAAAUUAAAACUCUUUUUUAUUUUUUUAUUUUCAUGUUAGGAAAAGUAUUUUUUUUAAUCGGAUAUUUUCGGUUUCUUUUCUUUUUCUUAUAAACA
This is a long non-coding RNA of Populus nigra (black poplar), 819 nucleotides long. RefSeq lists it as uncharacterized. The transcript has 3 exons. The record is from RefSeq and is a predicted model, not a curated record. NCBI's taxonomy places the organism in Eukaryota, Viridiplantae, Streptophyta, Magnoliopsida, Malpighiales, Salicaceae.